UUCUGGAGAAGUUCUGGAGGUUCCAGAGAAGUUCUGGAGGUUCUGGAUGAGUUCCAAAAGUUCUAGAAGCCUUGGAAUGGAUCCAGAGGUGUCCAUGAAGGGGUUCCAGAGGUUCUGGAGGAGUUCUGGAGGUUCUGGAUGGGUUGGAAUGGAUCCAGAGGUGUCCAUGGAGAGGUUCCAGAGGAGUUCUGGAGGCGUUGGGAUUACUCCAGAAGGGUCUAUGGAGCGGUUCUGGAAGCCUUGGAAUGGAUCCAGAGGUGUCCUUGGAGAAGUUCUGGAGGUUCUCAAUGGAUUGGAAUGGAUCCAGGAAGGUCCUUGGAGCAGUGCCAGAGGUUCUGCAGAAGUUCUGAAGAAGUUCCAGAGGUUCUGGAGAGGUUCUGGAGGAGUUCCAGAGGUUCUGGACUGGUUGGAAUGGAUCCAUCACGACCCCACCUCAGCCCCCUCCCCCUUCUCCCCGGCCCUGCCCUUGCCCAGGGUUCUGGAACAUUCCAGCUGCUCCAGCUUGGAGGCGGAGCGGCCGAGGGCGGCACCGGCGCCGUUGGUCUGGGAGCAGACGUGCGCGGUGCCCUUGGCCGGCGCGCCGUGCACCUUGUAGCGCACCAGCAGGAUGAAGAUGAACACCAGCACCGAGGCCACCAUGGCCACGGAGCCACCCGGGUUCUGCCCACCCAUCCUGGACCCAUCCUGGAUCCAUCCUGGAUCCAUCUUGGACCUCCCGGACCAAUCCUGAACCCAUCCGGGACCGAUUCUGGAUUGUCUUGGAUCUCCUGAACCCAUCCGGGAUCGAUUCCAGAUUGUCUUGGAUCUCCUGGACCCAUCCUGGAUUGAUUCUGGAUUAUCUUGGAUCUCCUGGACCCAUCCUGGAUCGAUUCUGGAACUCCACGACCAAUCCAGGACCACUCCAGGACCUCCAGAACCAA
Molecule: non-coding RNA, 920 nt
Organism: Taeniopygia guttata (zebra finch)
Lineage: Eukaryota; Metazoa; Chordata; Aves; Passeriformes; Estrildidae
Source: RefSeq, a predicted model, not a curated record